This 81-nucleotide microRNA precursor is filed under the name Anolis carolinensis (green anole). RNAcentral's name for it is "microRNA aca-mir-497 precursor". Its record names the gene aca-mir-497. Lineage: Eukaryota; Metazoa; Chordata; Lepidosauria; Squamata; Anolidae. The record is from miRBase by way of RNAcentral.
GGGGUUCGCACCAGCAGCACAACAAUGGUUUGUCGGGGAUCAGGAGUCCGCAAGCCGUUUUGUGGUGCCCACGCGAGCGGC